CGCCCACANCGGGAAGCCAGGCGGCGACGCCGAGCGGAACCCGAAAAGGCGCCUCAGUUCGGAUUGGAGUCUGCAACCCGACUCCAUGAAGCUGGAUUCGCUAGUAAUCGCGCAUCAGCCACGGCGCGGUGAAUACGUUCCCGGGCCUUGUACACACCGCCCGUCAAGCCAUGGGAGCCGGGAGUGCCUGAAGUGCGCGGCCGCGAGGAGCGCCCUAGGGCAAGACUGGUGACUGGGGCUAAGUCGUAACAAGGUACC
Molecule: ribosomal RNA, 258 nt
Filed under: uncultured bacterium
Lineage: Bacteria
Description: partial 16S ribosomal RNA
Rfam family: Bacterial small subunit ribosomal RNA
Source: RNAcentral